This is a microRNA precursor of Astyanax mexicanus (Mexican tetra), 70 nucleotides long. It matches the Rfam family "miR-430 microRNA precursor family". NCBI's taxonomy places the organism in Eukaryota, Metazoa, Chordata, Actinopteri, Characiformes, Acestrorhamphidae. The record is from Rfam.
AUUGGUACUCUAACAACGGCACUGACCUUUCCAUUGUAAUUAGUAAGUGCUAUUUGUUGGGGUAGUUUGA